AUUUUCCAAAACAAAAGUGAGAAAUUGUUACACAUUUUGCAUUCAAACUGAAGUGAUAAACAUCAUUUUGCUUACAGAAAACCAGUCGCUUAUGAGAGGAUAAGAAUUGAGCAAGGCAGGUAACAGCUUAGUAUUACCGUGAAGGUAAUUUUGACCCCAGGGAGCACACUUUGAGAAUUGUCACUCUAAUAGAUAGCUAAAAAUCCAGUGUCCUCUUAUCCCAAUAUUUAUCAGACACUAUGGUCUUCAUCUCAAGAUGGCAACUGUCCAGUUAGUUGGGUGAGCCAGGUUGUAUGAAUCACAAACCCUUUUCUGUAGUUUUUAAGUUCUUGUGGGGCAAUGUUAUAUCCUGUCCCUUUUUCCCUCACAGGACUUUCUUUGAGCGUCAGAGUCCCAAGACAGAGGCCUCGGAAAGUUUCAGACUGCUAGAAUGGAAGAUUUCACCUUCAGUGACGUGCAUAUUAAACUAGGCUUUCCUUACACUGGCACCAGGGAGACUGUGAGCAUGUUGUCGUUAUUACUGACAUAAGUGUAGGGGCAGGUUGCUGUCAACAGUGUCAUUCAAGGCUGAAGGAUAAGAACAUGGUCUUUAAACUCAAGGCAAUUUCUUGAUGAAGUGGUCAACAAAAGAAACAAUGAUCUGUUUCAAUGCUAAAGAGAAAAAGCAAUUGGCAAUUAUUAAGAGUUUGUUGGACACGAGCUUAUGCGUACUGAUGACUGCUUGGAUAGGGCACUUUAUAUCAAGAAGCACUGGCUGUGGACCAGAAAAUGCUCCGUUUGUAAAAUGUACACAGCUAGAGUGUUUUUUACUAAUGAUAGCAUUCAGUUAAUGAUACAUCAAGUGGUAGAAGUGUUUUGGAAAUCUUUGAAGAAUGUGAGAACUACACCAUCUAUCAUGAGGCUUCUAAGGUAAAGAUCCUUCAACUGUCAUAAAAAUUAGGGAAAAAAGUAAGAGUGAAUUAUUUAAUAAAUAACACAACAUUAAGAAAAGCUAUUGUGUAAUUUAAUUUUAUAGUGGGCUCUUUUGUAACAUAAUGUUAGGUUUAGUUUUGUUAGGAACUAGGCACAUAAGACAUUUUAGUGAGACUAAAAUGAUAAUGAAAGUAAAAAGAUCUUGAGUGUAUAUGCAUACCUUCACUGAAGUAACAUUUAAAUUGAAGCUUCAAUUCUUACAGAAACUUUCUAUGAAUCAUAAGUGCUGUGAGUUUAAAAUAUGUCAGUUUAGUAUUAAGAUUUUAAAAAUAGGUUUUAUAUGACUGUGGAGAGAUGGAAUAAUCAAGAUCCUACUGACUGUAGCUAUCUAUAUUGAAAUAUGUUCUGCAAACUUUUUUGGGUGGAAAAUGUAAUUCCAUUUAAGAUUUUUAAAAGUGCUAUAAAAUAGAUUUUAAAUGCUUGAAAAAAAUUUAAGUUAUACUUUCUCUUUCCUAGGUUAUAUUUAAAUUCACCUAAGUUUCACAUCUAGAUGGCUAAGAACAGACAUCAUUUACCAUGUAAAUAAGCAACAAUGAAUCCUGUAGGACUAUGCAUUUAAAAGAUUCACAGUGAAGUUAUGUCUUAUGGACUUGAAAUGCUACAUGUCAGUUUAGUCGAUUGGUUUGGAGAUGACAAGCACCCAUUCCUGGUAUGUCUACCAUGGUUCUCAUUCUGUUAGUACACGGAGGAUCACUAUAGAGAAUUAAGAGACUACUCCAUGGCUGACUUAUAACAUUCCUAUGUUUUUAUUUUCCUGUAUUGAAGAGUGCUAAAAUUGAGCAGAUCGAAAAUUCCACUGGAAAACCACAGACUUAAGAUAAAUAAGUGAUAUAUCCAAUUUCUAUAAUUCCACAGGUAAAAUGUAUUUUUGAUUCCUUUUUCUUUUUUUCCCAGAGAAGGGGUCUUGCUAUGUUGUCCAGGCUGGCCUUGAACUUGUGGCCUCAAGCAAUCUUCCCAUCUUGGCUUCCCAAAAGUGCUAGAUUACAGUUGUGAGCCACUGCACCUGGCCCGAUGCUUUUAUUAUUUAUACUGCAUUCCUUUUAGGUCAUGCAUGAAUAUGCAAUACUCAAUUCAUACUCUCAAAACAACAAACCUAGUAGAAAGUUAAUUAUUGUCAUAAUGCAUUAUUCCAUGUGUACUGUCAAUGCAUUCAUUUUAGUAGACAGAGAAGAAAGGUAUCAGUUAAAACAUUGUUUUAUUAUUUAUGGAAAAUGUUAGUUCUUAAGGUUAAUAUUGUUACCAAAGACUCAGAUACCUAUUAUGGUUUCCUGGUGAAACUGAGAAGACAGAUUAACCAGAUUACUGCCACAGUUUGUCAGUGUGUUGUGUAUUAGUCAUACCCACCAAGUUCCAGUCAAAAGAAAUUCUUAACUUUGUAUAUUUUGGAGCUACAAAAUCUUGGAUCCAAGACAACUUCCAUUUAUAUUUCAUCCUAUUAAAUACAACAAGCUUAUUUAUAGCAAAUAUGAAAAUGAUGUCAUGAACUUAUCAAUAUUCUUUGUAGUUAGAAAUGAAUUCCAUUUUGAUAUAAUAUUGUAUACACCUACACAAAAAUCACUAUAUGUAGAAAAGCAAUAGCUAUUUCUUUAAACAUCUUUGUCAAUAAGAAUCAUUAAACAUUUGGAUUUUCCCGGGAGAAAGGUUGGUCAUCUCUAACAUUCUCUGUGUGUUGCCGAAUUACACAACACAAAUAUAAACACAUUUGCGUCUGUUUCAGCUUUCUUUGUUUCUUAAUUCUUUAAGGAUAUGGGUUUGCUGUUUCCGACAGAUGGUCCUUUCUCUGGCCAAUGGGACAAAAAUGAGUUGUUAGCGAAGCCCGCACAGAGCCCUUUAAAAGCCUUUGCUCUUGUACAGGAUUAGAUGGCAGGUCUCAUCUUGACCUGACAUCCAGGUAAGUGUGUGGGGGAUGGGAACAUACACUGACAUUACUGCACCAGCACAACAAGGUAAAUCUGUCAGUAUACUAUUUGAAAUCACUGGAUAUAAUAGCAGUUAAAGCGCUUAAGGACUCUAUAUAAUGUUCACACACACAAAGUCCUAAUCAGGUUCUCUGUUUCAGAGGGUGUAUCUGAAAUUUCUCCAAGCACCUGAGAAAUCUUCAAUAAUCUAUUCUGCUGAUCAUGUAUAACUUACUCUUUAAAAUGCUAUCCAAUGAUGAUAAAGAAAAAAAAAAAAACUCCAGCACAGAAGAGGUGUUGUUUAUACAUACUUUUUUUUGGCUAGUUGUUUCAUUGAAAUUAUCACUUAGUGGCUUGUUCAGCUGUGGCAUUUUAACCAGCUAACAGUUUAAGCUGAGCCAAUGCUCUCAAUAGUUCUUGAUAACCAUUCAUAAGACUUUUUCUUAAAGAGUUCUGAGAGUGUUAGUUAUGUGUGAAUCAGCUUAGGACAAAUAGAGAAAAUCUCUCGAGAAGACAACUGUGCUUUAAGUAACAUGCCAAAGCAGACAUAAAUUAUUAGAAUGCUGCUGUAUCUCUAGAAGUUGAAUAUUCUGUGGCUUCUUGGUAAAACUAGAUCUGUUGGGUCGCAGGAAGAAAAGUGAGGUUGAAGAAAAGAUAAAUACCAUUUUCUUUAUUUUUGCCAUCUUGAGCUUAUUGUUUAGUUACCCUGUCUCCCCACACAACACAAUCUCUAUGACCAGCUAAGAAAUUAUUUCCUUGACAGCAAAUUCCAUCACUUACUCUUAUAAAUAGCAAAGAAGUAAUUUACUAAGAGAGUUUGACAGAAAAAUUCUUUAAUCAAAACAAGUUUACACGUUGAUAUUACAGCUUAACUAGAAUAAAUCUGUCCAGGUUAAAACUGUAGUUAAGAACCAAACAGAUAAUGACUGGUCUAUUUGGGGGUUCUCUCAAAACAGUGGGUCCUAGUUCCAUUGUGAGACCUCUCAAAAGCAAAAACCCAGUUACUGAAAUAAUUCAAAUUUUUAAUCUGUAGAUGAAAACAGUUAUCCUAGAGGUCAAACCAUACAAUUUUUGACACAAACUGUUAUGUUAUUUUACCAUAUUAAUAUAGUUUGAACACAUGAGAAGUAUCAUUUUCUAUCAAAAACCACCAAAUGGCCCAAUAUUCAAAAUGUCUUAGAAAUACUAUCCUUUAGUAAAUAUACCCUUAAAGUUUUUUUUAACAUUGUUUUCACCCUGAUACAGUCUCUGCACAUCAACAUACAGACUGUCUGAAAGCACCACGUGGGAACAGCCAAUGUAUGAUACUGACGUGAAAAUAAAGAUUCCCCUCUAAUACAGCCACAUUUUCAAAUAGGUUAGUGUCCAAAUAUAGCAUUUACUUAUAUUUACUGCAUAAGCAUCACAGAUUGACUUUUUUCCAAUUAAAGAAACACUUCCUUAAUGAGUAGUAAGAAAAUUUAGAAAUGAGACAUUUCUCAAAAAUAAGCUUAUUUAGUUUUCAGUUUUAGUUAACUAGUGCCUAUAAAGGAUCUUAGAUGAUUGGAUUCUGAAGCCGGAUUCAUUCCUAUGCAUCCCCAGUCUGUUCUCUGCAGGGGAAUUGUAUGACUUCACUUAAUUCCUAGCCACAAAACUAACCUGCAGAAGUUAACAAACUCGUAAAAUUGUCAGUUGAGCGUCAUUUCUAGUUGGCAUACAGGAAAGGCGUGCAGAAUACACGUCGUUUCAAAGAAGGUGGACAGUGCGGCACAAUGUAGACUGUGAUGUUAAAAUUAGCUUUUGAUAAAAGGAGGGCAUGAGUACUUGUAUAGAGUAACAUUUUAUCUACCAUAAAAAUGCUCAACUUCUGCAAACCCCACAACCAGUGGAAAGACAGUCUGGUAAGUCCAGGAUUUAUAAAAAAUAUGCAUGAAACCCAUGGUAUUUGGAAAAAGGAAAUGUUUAUACAAGUGGUAGUUUUAAAGAUAUAAUUUUGUUCUAUCAGUUACACACUAACAUACACACUAAUUGAAAAGAUGCUACAACCAUGUCUGGAAAAACAGUUUGACAUUUCUCAGCCACCCACGUGGGUAAUUCGUAGUGGUUUGGGGUCACCAUCUCUCCUGACGGAAUGUGUACGCUACUGAUAAGUAAUCGUUUUCUUGUACUUAUCCACACAUUAAAAACUUAACAGUGGAAAAUAGCACCUGCCAUUAACACAGUGCGGACGCACGCUCAGGGUGACCCAGCAGCGCGGCAGCAUCACCAGCGAGCCUGCGGGGCUGUCACAGCAACAGUGAACAACGGCGGCCACACUCUCCGCGUGCAGUGCUGAGUUUUCAUGGAGCCGUUGCUGGACACUGUUUUUUUCUUAGGUGAAAAGAAACAUCAGAAGUAGUUGAGGGACCAGGAAGUGGGUCCUCUAGGAAUGAG
This is a long non-coding RNA of Microcebus murinus (gray mouse lemur), 5282 nucleotides long. The record is from Ensembl. NCBI's taxonomy places the organism in Eukaryota, Metazoa, Chordata, Mammalia, Primates, Cheirogaleidae.